This 319-nucleotide long non-coding RNA is filed under the name Pelobates cultripes (western spadefoot toad). Lineage: Eukaryota; Metazoa; Chordata; Amphibia; Anura; Pelobatidae. The record is from RNAcentral.
GUUUACUCAGGAACUGGGUUACCAUAAUUUACUAGGGAUUUAUAAAGCACUCAGACUGAUUACUGUAAUACGAUAUUACAGAAGACUAGAACUAUCAGAAGCUGAGUUGGUCAGUGCUAUAAAAUGUUAACGAGUAAUAAGGAACUUAGUAGUUACUUAUCAAAUAUAAGUCCACUAAUACGUUUUGCUGAAAGGCAAUAAGGCACCAGCUCCAUUAUUUAUUUCAUUCCAUUUAUUUCCCUCCAUUUGUGUCUCUCCCCCAGGGACUGUCACUUCUGUUGAUUGAGAGGAUUAAUAUAUUGAACUGUUUAUUUUUCCC